RNAcentral lists this ribosomal RNA (301 nucleotides) under uncultured bacterium. RNAcentral's name for it is "partial 16S ribosomal RNA". It matches the Rfam family "Bacterial small subunit ribosomal RNA", at positions 509 to 807 of the family's 1533-position model. The record is from RNAcentral.
CAGCCGCCACGGGAAUACGUAGGGUGCGAGCGUUGUCCGGAAUUAUUGGGCGUAAAGAGCUUGUAGGCGGUCUGUCGCGUCUGCUGCGAAAACCCGAGGCUCAACCUCGGGCCUGCAGUGGGUACGGGCAGACUAGAGUGCGGUAGGGGAGAACGGAACUCCUGGUGUAGCGGUGGAAUGCGCAGAUAUCAGGAAGAACACCGAUGGCGAAGGCAGUUCUCUGGGCCGUAACUGACGCUGAGAAGCGAAAGCGUGGGGAGCGAACAGGAUUAGAUACCCCCGUAGUCCCUGUCUCUUAUAC